CCUUACCUGGCCUUGACAUACUAAGAACUUUCCAGAGAUGGAUUGGUGCCUUCGGGAACUUAGAUACAGGUGCUGCAUGGCUGUCGUCAGCUCGUGUCGUGAGAUGUUGGGUUAAGUCCCGCAACGAGCGCAACCCUUUUCCUUAUUUGCCAGCGGGUAAUGCCGGGAACUUUAAGGAUACUGCCAGUGACAAACUGGAGGAAGGCGGGGACGACGUCAAGUCAUCAUGGCCCUUACGGCCAGGGCUACACACGUGCUACAAUGGUCGGUACAAAGGGUUGCUACCUCGCGAGAGGAUGCUAAUCUCAAAAAGCCGAUCGUAGUCCGGAUCGCAGUCUGCAACUCGACUGCGUGAAGUCGGAAUCGCUAGUAAUCGCGGAUCAGAAUGCCGCGGUGAAUACGUUCCCGGGCCUUGUACACACCGCCCGUCACACCAUGGGAGUUUGUUGCACCAGAAGUAGGUAGUCUAACCGCAAGGAGGACGCUUACCACGGUGUGGCCGAUGACUGGGGUGAAGUCGUAACAAGGUAGGCGUACUACA
Molecule: ribosomal RNA, 541 nt
Filed under: uncultured bacterium
Lineage: Bacteria
Description: bacterial SSU rRNA
Rfam family: Bacterial small subunit ribosomal RNA
Source: RNAcentral